Molecule: ribosomal RNA, 605 nt
Filed under: Blastocystis hominis
Lineage: Eukaryota; Bigyra; Opalinata; Blastocystidae
Description: SSU rRNA
Rfam family: Eukaryotic small subunit ribosomal RNA
Source: RNAcentral
UGCCAGUAGUCAUACGCUCGUCUCAAAGAUUAAGCCAUGCAUGUGUAAGUAUAAAUAAUUUUACUUUGAAACUGCGAAUGGCUCAUUAUAUCAGUUAUAGUUUAUUAGAAAUAUUUUACUACUUGGAUAACCGUAGUAAUUCUAGGGCUAAUACAUGAGUAAAACCUCAACUUCGGAAGAGGUGUGUUUAUUAGUAUGAAAACCAUAUAUCUUCGGAUAUAAUAGUGAGUAAUAAUAACCUUUCAUAUCGUAUGUCGUAAGAUAACGAUAGUUCUUUCAAGUUUCUGCCCUAUCAGCUUUCGAUGGUAGUAUAUGGGACUACCAUGGCAGUAACGGGUAACGAAGAAUUUGGGUUCGAUUUCGGAGAGGGAGCCUGAGAGAUGGCUACCACAUCCAAGGAAGGCAGCAGGCGCGUAAAUUACCCAAUCCUGACAUAGGGAGGUAGUGACAAUAAAUCACAAUGCGGAACUUUUAGUUUUGCAAUUGGAUUGAGAACAAUGUACAAAUGUUAUCGAUAAACAAUUGGAGGGCAAGUCUGGUGCCAGCAGCCGCGGUAAUUCCAGCUCCAAUAGCGUAUAUUAACGUUGUUGCAGUUAAAAAGCUCA